RNAcentral lists this ribosomal RNA (497 nucleotides) under uncultured bacterium. RNAcentral's name for it is "partial 16S ribosomal RNA". It matches the Rfam family "Bacterial small subunit ribosomal RNA", at positions 28 to 507 of the family's 1533-position model. The record is from RNAcentral.
GAUGAACGCUGGCGGCGUGCCUAAUACAUGCAAGUCGAGCGAACAGACGAGGAGCUUGCUCCUCUGACGUUAGCGGCGGACGGGUGAGUAACACGUGGAUAACCUACCUAUAAGACUGGGAUAACUUCGGGAAACCGGAGCUAAUACCGGAUAAUAUAUUGAACCGCAUGGUUCAAUAGUGAAAGACGGUUUUGCUUUCACUUAUAGAUUGAUCCGCGCCGCAUUAGCUAGUUGGUAAGGUAACGGCUUACCAAGGCAACGAUGCGUAGCCGACCUGAGAGGGUGAUCGGCCACACUGGAACUGAGACACGGUCCAGACUCCUACGGGAGGCAGCAGUAGGGAAUCUUCCGCAAUGGGCGAAAGCCUGACGGAGCAACGCCGCGUGAGUGAUGAAGGUCUUCGGAUCGUAAAACUCUGUUAUUAGGGAAGAACAAAUGUGUAAGUAACUAUGCACGUCUUGACGGUACCUAAUCAGAAAGCCACGGCUAACUACGUG